This 466-nucleotide ribosomal RNA is filed under the name uncultured bacterium. Its description in RNAcentral is "partial 16S ribosomal RNA". It matches the Rfam family "Bacterial small subunit ribosomal RNA", at positions 28 to 507 of the family's 1533-position model. The record is from RNAcentral.
GAUGAACGCUGGCGGCGUGCUUAAUACAUGCAAGUCGAACGAUGAAGCCCAGCUUGCUGGGCGGUUUAGUGGCCAACGGGUGAGUAACACGCGAGUAACCUGCCCUUAACUCUGGCAUAAGCCUGGGCAACUGGGUCUAACUACGGCCAGGUGCGAUCACCGCCCGCAGGGUGCUGGAAUGAUUUAGCGGUUUUGUAUGGAUUCGCGGCCUAUCAGCUUGUUGGUGAGGUAUUGGCUCACUAAGGCGAUGCCGGGUAGCCGGCCUGUGAGGGUGACCGGCCACACUGGGACUGAGACACGGCCCAGAAGCCUACGGGAGGCAGCAGGGGGGAAUAUUACACAAUAGGCGCAAGCCUGAUGCAGCGACGCCGCGAGCGGAAUGACGGCCUUCGGGUUGUAAACCUCUGUCAGAAGGGAAGAAGCGAAAGUGACGGUACCUGCAGAGAAAGCACCGGCUAACUACGUG